GCGAGAGUGGCGGAACGGUAGACGCAGUCGACUCAAAAUCGACCGCCUUCGGGCAUGGGGGUUCGAAUCCCCCCUCUCGCACCA
This 84-nucleotide transfer RNA is filed under the name Rhodopila globiformis. Its description in RNAcentral is "tRNA-Leu". It matches the Rfam family "tRNA". Rfam says of the family: Transfer RNA (tRNA) molecules are approximately 80 nucleotides in length. Their secondary structure includes four short double-helical elements and three loops (D, anti-codon, and T loops). The record is from RNAcentral. Lineage: Bacteria; Pseudomonadati; Pseudomonadota; Alphaproteobacteria; Acetobacterales; Acetobacteraceae. RNAcentral also lists the same sequence under 3 other names.